UACUGCCCACAGGAAACCCAUCUCAG
This 26-nucleotide unclassified non-coding RNA is filed under the name Mus musculus (house mouse). RNAcentral describes it as "oocyte_clustered_small_RNA432". The record is from RNAcentral. Lineage: Eukaryota; Metazoa; Chordata; Mammalia; Rodentia; Muridae.